Molecule: ribosomal RNA, 172 nt
Filed under: uncultured bacterium
Lineage: Bacteria
Description: partial 16S ribosomal RNA
Rfam family: Bacterial small subunit ribosomal RNA
Source: RNAcentral
ACUCCUACGGGAGGCAGCAGUGGGGAAUAUUGUACAAUGGGCGAAAGCCUGAUGCAGCAACGCCGCGUGAGCGAUGAAGGUCUUCGGAUCGUAAAGCUCUGUCCUCAAGGAAGAUAAUGACGGUACUUGAGGAGGAAGCCCCGGCUAACUACGUGCCAGCAGCCGCGGUAAU